UAUGUAGCUCAGUGGACAGAGCGUUCGCCUCCGGAGCGAAAGGUCGCAGGUUCGACUCCUGUCAUA
RNAcentral lists this transfer RNA (66 nucleotides) under bovine gut metagenome. It matches the Rfam family "tRNA". Rfam says of the family: Transfer RNA (tRNA) molecules are approximately 80 nucleotides in length. Their secondary structure includes four short double-helical elements and three loops (D, anti-codon, and T loops). The record is from RNAcentral.